Molecule: ribosomal RNA, 253 nt
Filed under: uncultured bacterium
Lineage: Bacteria
Description: partial 16S ribosomal RNA
Rfam family: Bacterial small subunit ribosomal RNA
Source: RNAcentral
UACGUAGGGUGCAAGCGUUGUCCGGAAUUAUUGGGCGUAAAGAGCUCGUAGGUGGCGGGUCACGUCGGGUGUGAAAGCCCGGGGCUUGACCCCGGGUCUGCAUUCGAUACGGGCUUGCUAGGGUCCGGCAGGGGAGACUGGAAUUCCUGGUGUAGCGGUGAAAUGCGCAGAUAUCAGGAGGAACACCGGUGGCGAAGGCGGGUCUCUGGGCCGGUACCGACGCUGAGGAGCGAAAGCGUGGGGAGCGAACAGG